GUUCAAAUCAUCAAUAGGCGAAUUGUUUUGAAUGUUGCAGGAGGCCAAUUCAUUAUUGAAAGUCUCAAGUUCUUCAUUGGUUAAAUUUGAGGGCUCCUCCAAAAUCCAAGUUCCAUUAGCACUAAACUCUUCAAAAUUAAUAGGGUCAUAGUUUCGAUCUUUGAAAUAAUUUUUGGAUAUAAUUAUAUAAAAAAUUAUUAAAGCUUAAAAAAUAUAAGCUAUAAAGAGAGAAUUUCAUAAGUGCAUCAAAAAAUAAUUCAAUUAAUGAAAAAUUAAUACCUUUGUUGUAGCCUUAAAUUAUAAUGAACAUAAACCAAGUCAUUGAGCCUUUGAUGCUCCAAUCUGUUCCUUACUUUGGAGUGGAUCUGUUCAAAAAUACUCCAACUCCUCUCACAACCUGAAGCACUGCAUGUUUGACUUAAAACUCGAAUUGCUAACUUCUGUAAAUUUGGUGCACUGCUUCCAUCACACAACCACCAUUCAUCUGGAGGCAUAAUUGUAUGAUUAUUUGUGGCAGACAUACACCCGAAAUCACCUUCUGCAUUUCUAAAUACCCUCAUCUCAUUUGUUAAGUCGGUUACCAAAAUUGGAUUUCCAUGCCCAUAUGUUUCUAUAACAUCCAAAAGCCUUGAAAUAGUCAAUCUAUGUUUUGACAUUUUAGUAGAAUUAUAUUGAUAGCAAGGGUUUAACCAAUAUCCAGUAGCAUGAAGAUUCUUAUGCAAUUGAGUGUCCAAUCGCGUUUUAAUGAUCUGUAUGUAAGGAGCAAUUCUUUUCUUCCUUUUCUGGAAUCCCCAUACUUU
This 800-nucleotide unclassified non-coding RNA is filed under the name Hevea brasiliensis (rubber tree). Lineage: Eukaryota; Viridiplantae; Streptophyta; Magnoliopsida; Malpighiales; Euphorbiaceae. The record is from RNAcentral.